GGCAGCAUAGCUCAAGUGGUAGAGCACCUGCUUAGCAAGACAAGGUCCUGAGUUCAAACCCCAGUGCCACCA
RNAcentral lists this transfer RNA (72 nucleotides) under Dipodomys ordii (Ord's kangaroo rat). It matches the Rfam family "tRNA". Rfam says of the family: Transfer RNA (tRNA) molecules are approximately 80 nucleotides in length. Their secondary structure includes four short double-helical elements and three loops (D, anti-codon, and T loops). The record is from Rfam by way of RNAcentral. Lineage: Eukaryota; Metazoa; Chordata; Mammalia; Rodentia; Heteromyidae.